Molecule: long non-coding RNA, 2221 nt
Filed under: Olea europaea subsp. europaea
Lineage: Eukaryota; Viridiplantae; Streptophyta; Magnoliopsida; Lamiales; Oleaceae
Source: RNAcentral
GCCGAUUUUGUUCGGAACUGGUGAACUCCUCAUAAGUCUUGUCCUGGUGACUGAAGUAAGAGAAUAGGCAAUUAACCCAUUAACAACCCGUCUGAACCGUCCAAUUUGCAAAACCAUCCGACCGAAACAGAACCGGACGGGCUGCUGGUAUACCUAAAAAGGAGGAAACCCAGAAAAAUUUUCACGUUCUAUCAAAUAGAAAACCUUCCAUUCUUCAGCCGAAUCCUUCUCUGUGCAAAUCCUCCCAAGAAUCCAAAUUCGAAAUAUUCAACUUCAAGUCAAAUUAGAUGGAAGGAGAACAUGUAAGUCUGGAAUUUAAGUUAGUGAAUUUCGAAUUUGCGCCAUUGAAAUCUGUGAAAAGAUGAUCUUUUUGGGUUGGUGCCCCUUUCAUUUUUCAAAUUUGAUGUCAUAUUCACCACGAUUCCGUCCCCUUGUAAAUUAUGUCUUUGUUUUAGUUUAUGUACAAUGAUUGUAUUUUCAAUUAAUUACAUGGGUGAACUUGAAAAUCAAUUUUUUGUUAGCUUUUUAUUUCUGUGAAUUCAGAACAGAUUUUCUCCCCUUAAUACAUAGGUGAUUAAGCAAUAUACUAUUUCCACUAUUUGUUCUCUUGAAGAAGCUCUUUUUUAUUGUUUCCAAUUGUCACUACAUUCAGCGCUUAAUUUGACCUUUUUUUUUUCUUUUUUUUUUUUAAAGGUCACUUGUGAGAAUAGUAGUUUUUGGUCAGUGGUUGUUUUAUUAUUUCAAAUGCAUAUUUCACUAUAUAUAUGAUUUAGAAAUUCUUGACUUUUGGGCACAGAUUGAUCAAAUGAAUUGGGUAACGAUUUCAAAUCCUUAGAAUUUGGGUCGUUACAAUUCCUAUGUGUUAGAACACACAACCACGUUUCUCCAAUAAUCCGCUCGACACACGCAGAAAUUGGGAAGAAUUUUAGGGGCGAAGAUACCUAAGUCCCCUAAAGAAUUUGACCUAAUGUUUAACUCCCAUUUUGUCCAUUUUAUAUCCCACAGGUGUAUGGAUAUUAACAAAUAAUAUAGUAGACUUACCGUUGAUUAAAUUAUUCUUAACUUCAAUUCAGUCAAAAACUAAUAGAAAUAGUUUGUCUUAUUUUUGUGAUUUUUUCUUCUAAUUAUAUGAAAACAAUAAAAGAUAAUUUUUUUUUGAUAUGAUUGUUUAGUGUUAGGAUUCAUGAAUUACCAAAUUUUGCACUUUAGUCCGGUUUUUCAUUCUUUCCAUAAACUUUGAUCAUUCACUUUAAAUUACGCAUUUUGGUCUUUCAACUUCUGUUCAUGUGCAAAUUAGUCCACAUUCCGUCCAAUGGCCAAAUCAUCUUUCUUUCUUUUCCGAAUACUUAGAAACAAAAAGAAAUUAAACAAAAUUAAGUAGAAACCAACACUUUGUCGGUAUAAAGCUUAGUAAUAUGGCUCGAAUAAGUGCACAAAAUGCACUUAUCAGCAGGGUUGGCGCUAAGGAGCGGGGGCAGAGGGGUAUUCGAAGCAUUACACAUGCUAUUACCCAUUUCUGAUGCUAUUUGUGCAUUAAACUCGUUAAUUAUGUUGGUUCAAAUUCAGGAUGUGCUGCGAGCUGUUGCAUUACUCGUAUUUGCCAACAAACAAGAUCUCCCCAAUGCAAUGAAGGAUGCUGAAAUGAUAGAAAAGCUUGGCAUGCGUUCGCUGAAGAAGCGUCCCUGGUAAACAAAUCUUGGUUCUUAUUGCCAUUGGUCUUUGUUUAUUGUUUUUUUUACCUUGGUUGGUUUCGAUUGUUUCCAGGUACGUCCAGGGCACCUGUGCCAUGUCUGGAAAGGGGCUUUACGAUGGUCUCGACUGGCUCUCUAAAACCAUUUCGUACAAGGCAAGUUCUGUUUAUCCAACAGUGUCGAUGCACUUUCUUCUUCAUUUGUAUUCGGUUUAAUUUCUCACAGUCGCUCCCUUCUUGCAGGCAUGAGGUCUGAUGCCGAGUUGGAAGUUCAGGUUUAACAAUAAUUAAUCAUGUGUGUGCGCCAGUUUAUGGAUCUUUCUGUUUUUUGUUAAGAACUUCUUAUGCUUUAUCAAAGAGUUCUGAUGUGUGUUCAGUUAUAUAAUUCUCUUAAAGACAUUGUUUGGUUUGGAAUAAAUGCUUUUACCCCAUAUUUUUAAUGUUUAAUAUUUGUUAUUACUAGAAUCCACUUAGAUUUGGAUCCUAACACUCCAUUUAAAAGUUUAUUAUGUUUUAUGACAUAAAUCUUAU